CCAUGCCCCGAAACCCCCGGGUGCACNCGGNUUACAAUGGCAGGGACAGCGGGAUGCUACCCCNAAAGGGGGAGCCAAUCCCCCAAACCCUGCCGCANUUGGGAUCNAGGGCUGGAACCCGCCCUCGUGAACGAGGAAUCCCUAGUAACCGCGGGUCAACAACCCGCGGUGAAUACGUCCCUGCUCCUUGUA
This 192-nucleotide ribosomal RNA is filed under the name uncultured Stygiolobus sp. RNAcentral's name for it is "partial 16S ribosomal RNA". It matches the Rfam family "Archaeal small subunit ribosomal RNA", at positions 1149 to 1341 of the family's 1478-position model. The record is from RNAcentral. Lineage: Archaea; Thermoproteati; Thermoproteota; Thermoprotei; Sulfolobales; Sulfolobaceae.